UGAGGAAUUUUGCGCAAUGGGCGAAAGCCUGACGCAGUGACGCCGCGUGGAGGAAGACGGCCUUCGGGUUGUAAACUCCUGUCAGAGGUGAAGAACACCCGCAAGGGCUUGACGGUAACCUCAGAGGAAGCCCCGGCUAACUACGUGCCAGCAGCCGCGGUAAUACGUAGGGGGCGAGCGUUGCUCGGAAUUACUGGGCGUAAAGGGAGUGCAGGCGGCCGGUUAAGUCGAAGAUGAAAUCCCGAGGCUCAACUUCGGAACGGUCUUCGAUACUGAUCGGCUUGAGGCUAAUUGAGGAGAGCGGAAUUCCCGGUGGAGCGGUGAAAUGCGUAGAUGUCGGGAGGAACACCAGAGGCGAAGGCGGCUCUCUAAACUAGUCCUGACGCUGAGACUCGAAAGCUAGGGGAGCAAACGG
This 415-nucleotide ribosomal RNA is filed under the name uncultured bacterium. RNAcentral describes it as "bacterial SSU rRNA". It matches the Rfam family "Bacterial small subunit ribosomal RNA", at positions 355 to 775 of the family's 1533-position model. The record is from RNAcentral.